UUAAUAAUUUAAUAAUAAUUAAUUAUUAAUGAUAAUAGAAUUGUUUGAUGUUUAAAUUAUUUAAUUAUGAUUCCGAUGUCUAAAAAUGCAUGAUAAAUUAUUAUAAAUGCUUUAAAAAUAUUUUAAGUCAUUUAAAAAUAAAAUGACUGAUGUUGAGAUACAGAAUAAGAGUCUUAGACUCAGUAAUUACCCGAUAAAGCUGUCGGUACGCCGAUAAAUGUCAGACCCUAUAAUAGAAAGAAAAGGCUACUGUAAGAACAUGGAUGAGAUAUUUGAAAAAUGUAUAAAAAUAUUUCAAGUAUAGAAUAUGAACUAAAAGUAUGAUCACUGCGAUUAUGUGAUGACGUGAUUAGACUAUGUGCUGACUGUAAUAGACAGUACUAUGUGUUAUGAUAUAUUGUUCUAAUCGAACGAAUGAUCUGAUUAUUGAUAGGUUGUGAUAAAGAGAUAAAACCUAAGUUGAGAUUUGUAAUCAGCGAAUCAGGCAAGUAUCUUACCUUUGCAUUUCCUUUAUGCAAUGGACAUGAGUAAGAGAGUUUCAGAAUUCUUUUCUAUUCCUGUACAGAUUAUGUACGCUUUGAUUAUCAACAUGUUAGCUCAGAUAUAUAUUUUGUUCAUUGAUUUCUAAAUGGUUAUACAAGUGUCC
This 646-nucleotide long non-coding RNA is filed under the name Panax ginseng (ginseng). Its description in RNAcentral is "long non-coding RNA (PGIN_LNC008236)". The record is from RNAcentral. Lineage: Eukaryota; Viridiplantae; Streptophyta; Magnoliopsida; Apiales; Araliaceae.